Molecule: ribosomal RNA, 440 nt
Filed under: uncultured bacterium
Lineage: Bacteria
Description: partial 16S ribosomal RNA
Rfam family: Bacterial small subunit ribosomal RNA
Source: RNAcentral
CCUACGGGUGGCAGCAGUAGGGAAUAUUGCUCAAUGGGGGAAACCCUGAAGCAGCAACGCCGCGUGGAGGAUGAAGGUUUUCGGAUUGUAAACUCCUUUUGUUAGAGAAGAUAAUGACGGUAUCUAACGAAUAAGCACCGGCUAACUCCGUGCCAGCAGCCGCGGUAAUACGGAGGGUGCAAGCGUUACUCGGAAUCACUGGGCGUAAAGAGCGCGUAGGCGGGAUAGCAAGUCAGAUGUUCAAUCCUAUGGCUUAACCAUAGAACUGCAUUUGAAACUGUUAUUCUAGAGUAUGGGAGAGGUAGGUGGAAUUCGUGGUGUAGGGGUAAAAUGCGUAGAUAUCAAGAGGAAUACUCAUUGCGAAGGCGACCUGCUAGAACAUAACUGACGCUGAUGCGCGAAAGCGUGGGGAGCAAACAGGAUUAGAUACCCCAGUAGUC